This is a long non-coding RNA of Ornithorhynchus anatinus (platypus), 1742 nucleotides long. RefSeq lists it as uncharacterized. The record is from RefSeq and is a predicted model, not a curated record. The transcript is spliced from 3 exons. NCBI's taxonomy places the organism in Eukaryota, Metazoa, Chordata, Mammalia, Monotremata, Ornithorhynchidae.
CCGGGCUCUUUCCACUGAGCCACGAUGACCUCCUGCUUUGAGGAGCUUAUAGUCAUGUAAUGUGUUUUUCCAACUCCACAUGUCAUUAUUUUUAGUGCAAACUAGUGUGUUGGGAGACCAGUUCGGGCCUCCCCACGUCCCUUACCCUCUCAGGGACAGUAAGAAUGGAGGGUCACGGGGAAGCGUGAAGUUCAGGCCUUCAAGCACUCGACCCCCAACUCCCAAAUUCUGAGGCUCCUGCCCCGAGCACAGAGCAUGGACCAAGCGAGCUCCUGCCCGAGAAAGGACAUCGCACAUUUCCAGGUUGGAUAAGGAGGUUGAGGCAAGAUCACUCUGGAGAAACUCACUCAGGGCAAGAUUGUAGCAAAGUGAUGAGAGAGUUGUCACAAGAACAAGCUGAAGUUUCUCCUGGACGCCCACCUAGCCGCUUCAGGCCUGGACUCAGAAACACAUUUCAGGAGCCCCUGCAGUCUUUAGCAUUGCAGUUUCCUCAUUGUUUGGAAGCUCAGGAAGAAAGUGCGGUCCUGAUUCUCCAGAGAAAGAAAGUGGAGGAAACUCCAAGGAGUGGCUGAGGUAUGUGUGUAGUGUAGGUGGGGGAACAGCCCUUUAGAGAGUCCAUGCAUCUUGGGUGAGUCAAUGAGAGGAGAGUGUGGUCUUUCUAGGGCUUCAAAUGGCCCUUCUCACACCUCCUCCAUCAGAUGUAGGUGGUGACCCGUUCCCAUGCAGGCCCAGGGGCCACUCGGAGGGUGUAGGUUAUGGGUCUGACUGUCUUUUCAUUAACUGAGUGCGAGACUGCACUCUGGGGAAAUGGAGAGGGUUAAGGAAUGUUGUUUCAGGCCCUUUCGUCAAAAACUGCCGAAUGGAUUGAGUUCAGAUUCCCCCCUCGCCCCGCCGCCCCCACAAAAUGACUCUGGGUUGAGACCAUGUGGGUAAAAUUUAUGUCCCGAAUGAGAGUUAUUCAUGAAGCUAUGGGUGAAUGAAAACAGUGGACACGAUGAAAAUUAAUCUGUGACCUUUGUACAGGAUUUACAACUUCAAGGGCAGUAGAACCAUGAAGUCCCUGGGUUCUGGGGCCUCCCCUCAGGACCUAGUGACCCGGGGAGCUCCCCAAGGACAGGAUCGUGAAUUCCCCAGACUCUGGGGCCUCCCUUCAGGACCUAGUGACCCAGAGAGCUCCCCAAUGGCAGGACCUUGAUUUCUCCAGGCUCUGGGGCCUCCCCACAGAGCUGAGAGGAAAAUCAGGCAUGGUCGCUUCCACUACACGUGGAGUUGAUUGUUGAAGAACCACUGGUUAAAGAAAUUUCUUGCUGGAAUAUUGACAUUUUAACCUACUCCCCGAAUAUGCACAUUAAGGAUUUUUUUCUCCCUGACAUUGCGUUCUACUUAUACUGUUGUAAAUUGUGGGAAGAGCAUUUCCUUCUUCCUGUACUAGUGUUCUAGACAGAGCACAUAAUGAAAACAUACGUUCUACAAGGACUGACUGUGCAGUCGGCAAUCAGUAAAUGUUAGCUGAUGAGAUGUGAUAACAGUGAUGAUGAUGAUGAUGAUGAUCUGGAGGAAAGCCCCAAAGAGGAGGCAGACCUUGGAUUAUCAUCCUGAACAGUAUGGAUCACGUACUGUGUGUAGCUCACUGUACUGAGAGCCUACCGUCUGCACUGGGACUUACUGGUUACAGAGCUUUUGUUGGCAUUCUGAUUCAGCAGCAUGGUAUAGUGGAUAGAGCACGGGCCUGGGAGUCAGAA